GUUGGGCACGAUGACAUGCACCUGUAGUCCUAGCACUUGGGAGACUGAGACGGGAGGACCCCUUGAGUCUAGGAGUUUAAGGCCAGCCUGGGCAGCACAGCAAGACCUUGUCUCCA
This 116-nucleotide small RNA is filed under the name Marmota monax (woodchuck). Lineage: Eukaryota; Metazoa; Chordata; Mammalia; Rodentia; Sciuridae. The record is from RNAcentral.